CACCAAAACGAUGAGAAAAAGGUAAUUUCAAUGGUUGUGAUGGAUAGUGACGUUGUGGGAGAUUGUUAUAGUAGUGGUCGACGAGAACGACACGGUAGUUGGCCUUACCAAUGUCGAUCCAAACAUCGAGGACGAGGAGGCAGAGUGGUAAGGCAUCUGCGUUGGUGCCAGAGGAGGAAGAUGAGGGAGGUGAGGUAUUUGCAUCUACGUCGGUGUUGCACCACUCUGCUUCCUCUUCCUCCUCUGGCGUUGCUUUGCAUUUGCGUCAUCACUGGAGGAGGAAGAGGAGGCAGGUGAGGCAUCUGCAUCGUUGAUGUCGAGGAGGGAGAAGGAAGAGAAGGUAGGUGAGGUAGAGCAGUGCGAUGCCGACACAGAUGAUUGUGAUGAUCUUCAUUUUAUGUAUUUUCCAUCUUUGCUUUGUUUUCGUUGCUUUGGUUGGGUUCUUAAAAUAUGAGAUGAUAUUUGUGGGUAGCAUGAUCAUGUUACAAAAUGAAAAACCAUGAAUCCAGGUCUGCCCUGCAAGCAUUUAAAUGCUGAGUGGCUUAUUCCAAUGUUGACUUGACUAUAAUCGUAUCCUUUUGCUGACUUCUGGGCGUUUCCAUUCCUAUAGUUUUUGAGACAUCUAAUUAGCUGUCUAGUUGUUUUCCAACAUAAAUGACAAGACAUAGUUGGAUGGAGGACAUCAUCAAUCAGACAUAACUCUGAUAUGCCUGAGGUAAUAUUGUGUUGUUUCCAGUACCUCCGUGGGUAUCAGGAAGUCCAUAUCUGUGCUUUCAUAUAUCAGUUUUCUCCGGUGGGAAGAUUCUUUGAAUGAGAGAUACCCACAUAUUGUAUACGAAGAAUACUCAGCAGGAAGCAUAAAUGAUAAGUGCGUUACUGAUUCGCUUACCAAGUGUGACUGUGAUAUGAUAGAAGAAAUGCUAGUAAUGGGCCUCACACGCUUAUCUUGGGAAAGAGUGGAUGUCAGCAUCCAGAGGUUCACUGCACACAGUGUCAUUCAGGUUAAGGAUCCUUUCGAGCAUUCAGAAGGUGCAGAUGUUAUACAACAUAUGAUUGAUCACUUUCUCAUUUGAGAGAGCCAAUGGCAUUUUGGGAUUAAGCUGUAAUUAUAUUGCCAUGAACUGAUAAAGAGCACAUGAGUAUUCAAUGCCAUUGGGUAACACAAGAUGCAAAUCUAGUUAAGUCAGCAGCCUCACAGUCUACUUGAAUUAGAUCCUCAGGUUCUCAAAUAUUUUUUUACUUUCAUCAGUGGCAAAUGUAUUAUGUUACAUGAAAACAUAAGUUCCAACAUCAUAUAAUAGUAAUUAUUAUCUUCCCUCGAUUAUUUCCCCUUUGCUGAAGUAGGGGGAAACGUCCUAUAGUCUCCAACAGAAAUAAGAUUAGCUGAAUGCUCAGAGAAGUGGCUCUACACAGUGUUUGCAAAAUUUACAGAGGUUUGUUCUAGGUUAAAACUAAAUUUGAUGGACAAAAAGUAGGUGAGCUGAUCCCAAGGAAACUGCGGUGUCAAAAAAAAAGGAAAAAUGUCUUUGAAACUUGUAAAUAAGAUCGAACUACUUAUGAGGUUCGUUUCUAGAUUCUC
Musa acuminata subsp. malaccensis (wild Malaysian banana) is the source of this 1579-nucleotide non-coding RNA. The record is from RefSeq and is a predicted model, not a curated record. Lineage: Eukaryota; Viridiplantae; Streptophyta; Magnoliopsida; Zingiberales; Musaceae.